UGUUGCAUGGCUGUCGUCAGCUCGUGUCGUGAGAUGUUGGGUUAAGUCCCGCAACGAGCGCAACCCUCAUCCUUAGUUACCAUCAGGUCAUGCUGGGGACUUUAAGGAAACUGCCAGUGAUAAACUGGAGGAAGGUGGGGAUGAUGUCAAGUCAUCAUGGCCCUUAUGGAGUGGGCUACACACGUGCUACAAUGGUGGCUACAAUGGGCUGCAAAGUCGCAAGGCUGAGCUAAUCCUUAAAAGCCAUCUCAGUUCGGAUUGUACUCUGCAACUCGAGUGCAUGAAGUUGGAAUCGCUAGUAAUCGUGGAUCAGCACGCCACGGUGAAUACGUUCUCGGGUC
Molecule: ribosomal RNA, 341 nt
Filed under: Wolbachia pipientis
Lineage: Bacteria; Pseudomonadati; Pseudomonadota; Alphaproteobacteria; Rickettsiales; Anaplasmataceae
Description: bacterial SSU rRNA
Rfam family: Bacterial small subunit ribosomal RNA
Source: RNAcentral